CAAUAGCGUAUAUUAAAGUUGUUGCAGUUAAAAAGCUCGUAGUUGGAUUUCUGGUGGGAGCGAUCGGUCUGGCGCUUAGCGCGAGUACUUGCAUUGUCUCCGGCCAUCCUUGGGGAGAGUCUGUCUGGCAUUAAGUUGUCGGGCAGAGGAUCCUCAUCGUUUACUGUGAAAAAAUUAGAGUGUUCAAAGCAGGCUUAUGCCGUUGAAUAUAUUAGCAUGGAAUAAUAAGAUAGGACUUUGGUACUAUUUUGUUGGUUUGCGCACCAAAGUAAUGAUUAAUAGGGACAGUUGGGGGUAUUCGUAUUCCGUUGUCAGAGGUGAAAUUCUUGGAUUUACGGAAGACGAACUACUGCGAAAGCAUUUACCAAGGAUGUUUUCAUUAA
RNAcentral lists this ribosomal RNA (383 nucleotides) under uncultured eukaryote. RNAcentral describes it as "partial 18S ribosomal RNA". It matches the Rfam family "Eukaryotic small subunit ribosomal RNA", at positions 592 to 976 of the family's 1831-position model. The record is from RNAcentral.